GGUAUAUAUUCAUCAUGAGAAUCAGAUGA
RNAcentral lists this small nuclear RNA (29 nucleotides) under Arabidopsis thaliana (thale cress). RNAcentral describes it as "snRNA_11861". The record is from RNAcentral. Lineage: Eukaryota; Viridiplantae; Streptophyta; Magnoliopsida; Brassicales; Brassicaceae.